UUUCCGUAGGUGAACCUGCGGAAGGAUCAUUACUGAGUAAACGGGUCUUUUAGGCCCCUACUCCCACCCUUUGUGUACCUUACCAUAUCUUCUGUUGCCUUGGCGGGUUGGACCGCCUAAGGACCUCGUGUUCUUAGGCACCUUUCCGCCAGGGGAACACCUUUAAACUCUUAUGAAUUGAGUCGUCUGAGAAUUUAUGCAAAUAAAUUAAAACUUUCAACAACGGAUCUCUUGGUUCUGGCAUCGAUGAAGAACGCAGC
RNAcentral lists this unclassified non-coding RNA (260 nucleotides) under uncultured fungus. RNAcentral describes it as "sequence contains ITS1, 5.8S rRNA gene". The stretch from base 212 to 260 matches the Rfam family "5.8S ribosomal RNA", at positions 1 to 49 of the family's 154-position model. Lineage: Eukaryota; Fungi. The record is from RNAcentral.